GGCUUUAUAUUCAACAAUGAUUUAGAAUUGCAAAUUCUAAGGUGUAAUGUUUACUAAGGCCU
RNAcentral lists this transfer RNA (62 nucleotides) under Erianthus versicolor. RNAcentral describes it as "tRNA-Cys". Lineage: Eukaryota; Metazoa; Arthropoda; Insecta; Orthoptera; Chorotypidae. RNAcentral also lists the same sequence under 1 other name. The record is from RNAcentral.